RNAcentral lists this long non-coding RNA (12410 nucleotides) under Daucus carota (carrot). RNAcentral describes it as "long non-coding RNA (DCAR_LNC000070)". Lineage: Eukaryota; Viridiplantae; Streptophyta; Magnoliopsida; Apiales; Apiaceae. The record is from RNAcentral.
GGACGAGUUCUUCGAGUACAGACUCCAUGGUAUCCAACCUUGCAUCAUACCUCGCUUGACUUUGUUCCAUCCGGUGGAGGGCACUAAGGAGCUCCGUGUUACUGACUACAACCGGGGGUGGGUUGUUCGGCAAAGUGCGGGGGUCCUGUAUGUGCACCGGUGAGUAUGGUUCUACUGAUUCAUCUUCAACAUAGUAAUCUCCUUCAUACGGGUCAUCAUCGUGAUUGGCCAUCUCUUCCUCUUCGAGAUUUCACCUAGUCCCCUCCUUCUAGCCCCAAUUUGUUGAUAGAGGAAUUUGGUGAAUCAACAAACGUGAGGUUCGUUGCCGGAAUAAGGUGUUUCACGGUGAUUAUAUGACGGAAAUCCGCCGUGGGCGGUGGUUUUAAGUGUUUGAGGGUGGCUGAGAUCAAGGGAAUAUAUUUCUGCUCUCGUUCUCACAACUCUCGAUAUAUCCCCCUGAUGUGCCUACGUACCCCUUUAUAUAGGGGAUCAAGCCAUACGUAGUUCUAUGGAACCAGGAGUCCUAGUUUGAUCAGGACUAGGCCUCUUGGCGAUAAGGUCGGAGAUAGGCCGAAGGCCCAUCCUGGAGAGUCCUACUCCUGUUAGAAUUAGUCUUGAGUAUGACCACCUCAGACUCCUAAUCCAAAUAGAUCACGGAUUCAACGAUAUCUCCACUACGAGAGAUAGCAUCUACCACGACUCUUAUGGAGAAGUUAUCUGGGAUGCAGAUCAUGCCCGGAUGAGCCCGAGAACUAUCAGAUGAGCCUGAUAACUACCAAAUGAGCUUGGUAACUGAUCUUCAUAUCCCUCGGGAGGGUCGUCACGGAGACUCACUCAUCCUCUCUCUCUCAUGUAUUUCAUAAUUAUGUCACCUCUUAAGUCAAAGGGCGCGCCCUUCGCGGGGACCUUGUCUUCAUGUUCUUCUUACUGGACAAGAGACCGCACCUCCCGGGUCAUGUCCGGGGAGGGCGCGUCCUCUCCCUAACACGGUGUACAAAAACGGCCACAACAAAGCCCACUAAACUCUAAACCAAAUUUGACACUAAAUUCUACACUAAAUAGCCCCUAAAGUACCCAUUUCUUGAUCAAAACAAGAUUCAAACCAAACCAAAACAACUCCAAAUCAUACCAAACUUCAAAUCUAGCCUAUAUAAAAUAUAACUAACCAAAACCCACUAACCUCAAGUCAAAAUCAUAAACUAAAAUUUACACCCAAAAGCCCUCAAAAAUACCAAAAUCAAGAACAAGGAGAACACCAAAUCUUACCAAACUAACUCCAGUACUCCCCAGAUUCUUCUAUCAUUAAAAAUGUUAGGGGAAUCUAACUUCGAAACUAGCUUAUCUACCUUGUCUCUAACAAAACACCAUCAAACUACAAACCAAAAUAUCAACUAAAUCAUUUAUCGCAACUGCUAUCUAAUGCUCAAACGCUAAUUCAGCUAUCGACACGACGCGUCCUUUCCAAGGGGCGCGUCCUCCUCCUCUGACCCUUGCCUGACGAAUCCAUACCAUUUCACCUGUUAUUUAAUUUCAAUUUCAAAAUCGAAAUGCCAGCUGUCGCCCUCCUCCUAUAAAUACCCCUCAUUCUCUCAUCUUCUCCAUUUUCUCAACCGUUACUUCUCUCUCCGGCGACGCAAGCAUUCCGGGUACACUACAGCAUUUUCCGGCCUCCAUUUGCACAUUUGAUCCGACCAAUCUCUUCUCCACUUCUCAAGGUACAUUUCCCACCCUUCCUUUUUCAUUUUUAUCCAGUAAAUCGAUAGAUCUGAGUAUAUGUCCCUUUAACUACCCAUGAGUUCUUCGUGUUCUUCAUUUUAUCCAUGUAUAUAUGUAUGUAUAUGAGUAGUCUUUGAUCCAUCUGUUAUCCGCAAUCACGUAACAAAUAUGUUUAUGCGAGCUACUUUAUACCUAUCAAGGCGCGUCCCUUGGGGACGGCGCGCCACCAGAAUUCAUGUUACGACCCUUUGAUUUGUGCUCACUCUCUUAUUCAUCCGUUUUGCCUUAGAGAUCAGAAGUAAUGAGAGGACGUGUCCUAUUAUGGGACGCGUCGUCCUCUCUUCUUCAUCCCUCAUCCGUUUCGCUUCACACUUCACUUUAACUGCUUCAUACUUUCUUACUUUGACAUUGUCAGGACGCGCCUUCACAGCUAAUUCAUUUUUUCUUUCAGCUGGCAAACGAGGGCGCGUCUCCCCCCUUUCAUCCAUUUAGAAGUUUCCUAGGCCAGCGGGGAAUCUCCAUCUCUCCCCUAGAGGUUUUUUCACCAUCACCACCCCGAUCAUCCUACAUUCUUUCUGAAGAAGAAAAAGAACGAAUCCUUGACAACCUGGCACAAGACAACAUGGAAUCCUCACAUUCCUCAACUCCCCAGGCCAUUACUCCCAACGCUCCCCUCCCUGAGGUUACUAGCUCUCAGACUGUCCACGGUCGCCCUUCUGACUAUGACUCGUCAUUUGAAGAUUGGCUUGGAGAUCCGGAGGGCGCGUCUGUCCCUUCUCGCAAAGGAAAGGGAAAACAAUAUCAGAUUAUCUCCUCGUCUUCUGAACACAGCGUUUCUUCCCCCCUUAGUGACAGGGGCGAUUCUGAUUACGAAGUAUCAGACAAGGGGGAACAAGGCGCGUCCUCUCGUGAAACUGUUGAAGAGAACGUUGAUGGAGAGACUUCACAGGGCGCGCCUUGUGGCAGAACCUCUAGAAUUCCUCCUUCUCCCCCGCCAUCUCCUGAGCCAUACACUCAUCCUCGCAUAGAGGCAUGGGAGGAAGAUGUGAAUUGGACAGAAUAUGAAGACAUGGAACUCUCCUCAAAGAUGGUUGAGGAGAUUAAAAAGAAUAAAGGCAAAUUGAGCUGCGUAGACCAAUCCUCCACUCUCUCUUGGGAAGAACUAGAGUGGACCAUGGAUUACUACGAGCAACAGGGAACUGCUGUGGUGCCUCUCGAGGAAAUGAGGGCACAUCGUUUUGACAUUGGGAACUACAGAGUUCCUCGUAUUGUUUUGACUCCUCGUCAUGUCAGCCUAGGAGUGGGCGCGCCUCUACACUCCUAUUUUGAGCAAAUCUGUGAAUGGUUCGACGUUGCCCCUAUCCAACUAUCGCCCAAUUCAUAUAAAUUGGCUGCAGGAUUGUACAUUUUGUAUAAAGACGAGGGAUACGGCGCGCCUUCCAUGGAGGAAUUGAGCUAUUUCUUCCGGCUCACCAGAAGUUCUUUGGGCUACUUCUUCCUUGUUGUCAGGAAGCAACACAACAACAAAGGAUUUAGUGAAGGGCGCGCCUCCCACAUCAAGAAAUGGAAAGAACCUUUCUUUUACGUCUAUGAUGUUAGGAGGGUUAGGACGCAGUUCAACAUUUCUCCAGGUUAGCACAUCUGUCCUUAGGACGCGUCCUUUCAUUUGUUAAGAUCCUUUUUAUUGACUUGCCCUUUACCUUUUUAGUUGAACGAGGGAUGCCCUCCUUAGAGGAUGAGGCUCUGGAGAGAGCGCAACACAUUCUGAACCUUCCUCACGAGAGGAAGAACAUGACACUUCUCGUCACCACCCCAAAUCUCGUUAGGGCUGGUUUUCUGUCCCCUAACAUAGGCUCUAAAGUGGGGUUUAAAGUAUUCAGGGACGGUAAACCCCUCACAGAUAGGAAGCAUAGGUUUUCUAGGAGAGAGUCCAGGGAGCCAAGCCCUGAUAACUUAUCUGGCCAAGGUACGGCUGGGCGCGUCCUCCCCUUCAUACUUAGAGGACGCGUCCUAUAUUUUUAGCAAGACAUUCUAGUUUUACCCAUUGCUCCCAUAUGUUUAACUAGAUAGCAUAUUGCUGCAUAUCAAUUUCGCCUUCUCUUUUAUUGUUCAAGUACCUAAUGCAUUCUUGCUUGACUUUUGUGCAGAUAUGGCCAACGUUCCCACCUUCUUGCAGAGAACAAUACUCAACACAGGGGAGGGCGCGUCCUCCAAACCUUCUGGCUCUAAGCGGGGCGCGUCUGAACUCGGUGCCCCGAAACAAGGGGACAAGCCUGACCCUGCCCUGGAGAGCUCUCGAGGGCCCAAGAAACUGAGAGUAACCAAAAAGCAAACCCCUUCUCAAUCCACCAGCCUUUCAACUCGUGCUUUGGGCGAGAUAGGCGCGUCCAUUGCCUCUGAUGAAGAGCUAAGGGCAUGGCGCGCCAAGUCUGACUCCGAGAAGGAUGAGUGGAUCCUCAAAGCAAGCUGCGAGAUGCUGGUCCACAACAUGGACCGAGAAAAUGCAAGGACUGCUCAGGGGACGCGCCUCCAGACUUUAGAGAAAGAAAUCUCUACUCUCAAGAAGGAUGCCAAGAAGAAUGAGAAGGCCCUCCAAGCUGCUGAGAGUGCUAAGAAGACAGCUGAGGAGGAACUCUCAACUGAGAAGGCGCGCCUUGAAAAAGAGAUCGCGGAUCUUAAGAAGGAGAACUCCAAGCUCGAGUCUGCCAACAAGGGUUUGGCAGAGGAGAUGUCCAAGGUGGAGGGCGCGUCCUUCUUCGAAGGAGUGUGCAGUCAUGUCGCCACCUUUCUUUCUGGUGAGCCCGACUACAACUGGCUUCCUAAAUUUGGGAAGACAGCGGCCAACUUCAUGGCUGAGUUCCCUUCUCAACACCCAGAGCUCUUGGCAGCCAAAAAAGCUGAACUGGCAGCCACCCUAGCCCGUGAAGCUGAGGAGGAGACGGCGCGCCAGGAGGGCGAUCACCAGGGAGAGGACGCGUCCGACCCUUAGUUUAUUCAAUCUGAAAAUGUGUCAAACAAUGAAUGUUUUAAAUAUUUCGAGGUGCGGGUCCUCUGUAAAACCUUGCAGAUUGUAAUUAUUAAUGACGUUGUUUUAUGGGGCGCGCCCUAAACUUCUAAUCGCGUUUUUUACAGUCUCUCGUUUGUCCUCCUCUUUCAUGCCUUCGUGUUUAUAAUCAUAUAAUAGUAUAAACGACAAGGCAGGGGAAGGACGAGCCUUUCCCGGGUGGGCGCGUCCUGCCGUGUGAACAUUGACAUGGGGGGGCGCGUCCUCUGCUUGGGGACGUCUAUCGAAUGCUACUUAGGAAACAUAACCUUCUUAAACCUUCUUUAAAGACAAUUAUAUUCUAUGUCAAUUAGAUUAACGCGCCGUCUUCCCGAGGAGGCGUCCUCAUAGGUGAUAAUUUCACUUGGCUUUACUUUGCAUGAAAGUUAUGUUCGCACUACUUCCCAAGUGAUUCGUCAUCUGAAUGGUGGGGGAGGGCGCGCCUCUCUAACUCUUAUAUCUCUUUGGAUAGUUCAUAUACUUUUAAGGUAUUAUUUUCCACACAGAAAGUUCAAGUGAAGAGGGGGCGCGGCCUCCACACAUCCAUGGGGACGCGCCUGGUGUAAUGUUUUUUCUUGUUUCCAUAACUUAUGAUUAUUAAGCCAUCAUCCUCCGAGCAACCCCUAUUAAACGGACAGGGGGGGAGGGGCGCGUCUUCCACAGAAUCUGGUGGGCGCGCCUGAUAUUAAGAAUACCUCACACAUAUUUUUGUAUGGAGAAAAGAGUGGCUCUAGGCCUUUUAUUAAGGAUAACUGAAUCAUAACGUGGCCUUUGGCCCAUAGUAAAUCUGAUAACUAAUGCGCUCGAGUACGAAACCGCACCCGUCCCAAGGAGCUGUUAACUCCAGGGGGACAUAAAAGGACUAGCAAGGGCCUUAGCCUAAAGAGGGGCGUAUGUAUACCACUCCCCUAGACUAGGGAUGAUGUUUAGUCAUUGCUAGUCUAUGUAGCCUGUGGCUACUGAUAAUAUUUCUUUAGAUGCUCCGCGUUCCAAGGUCUUGGAACGGGUUUUCCAUCUAGGUCUUCUAAUCUGUAAGUGCCCUUCCAUAAUAUGACCUUGACUCUGUAAGGGCCUUCCCAAUUGGCUCCAAAGACUCCAUGUUGGGGAUUUUUGUUGUUGAGUACAAUCUUUCUAAGGACAAGGUCCCCAACUUGGAAGGGGUGAGCCUUCACUUUGUUGUUGUAAUACUUAGCCGUCCUGCGCUGAUACGCGGCCAGGCGUAGUUGUGAUGUAGCUCUGAUUUCUUCAAUCAUAUCCAAGUAUAAUCUCUGACUUGCAUCAUUAUCCAGUUGGUCGAAGUAGUCUCUCCUGAACGAUCCUGCUCCAAUCUCAAUUGGGACCAUGGCCUCGCACCCAUAAGAUAGGACGAAGGGCGACUCCCCGGUCGUUGUCCUAGGGGUUGUGUUGUAAGACCAUAGGACCAUGGGGAGUUCUUCCGGCCAAUUCCCUUUGCUAUCUUCCAACUUUGCCUUUAGAGUAUGCUUGAUGAUUUUGUUGACCGCCUCCGUCUGCCCGUUGCUUUGGGGAUGGUACACUGCCGCAAAAUCUUUCUUGAUUCCGAGAUUUUCACAUAGGCCUCUUAGCUCUUUGCUGUCGAACUGCUUUCCAUUAUCCGAGAUCAGCUUGUAAGGGACUCCAAACCUGCAAACAAUAGAGUUAAAAACAAAAUCUGUUAUUUUCUUGGCUGUGAUGGUGGCCAAGGGUACGGCCUCUGCCCAUUUGGUGAAGUAGUCGACCGCAACCACUGCAUACUUCACUCCUCCCUUGGCUUUUGGGAGUUCUCCGAUCAAGUCUAUCCCCCACAUAGCGAAGGGCCAAGGACUAGUCAUGGUGGUGAGGGACGUGGCUGGGCUGUUGGUGAAGUUGGCGAAUCGUUGGCAUUUGUCACAUGCUCUGGCGAAAUUGAAAGCAUCACUCCUCAAGGUUGGCCAGUAGUACCCUUGCCUCAAGAUCUUCAUGGCCAAUGAGUUACCUCCCGAGUGGUUCCCACAUAUGCCUUCGUGGACCUCCCUCAUCACGUAGGUGCACUCCUCCCCAUCUAUGCAUUUGAGAAGGGGCUGAUUGAAGCCUCUUUUAUACAGCUUCCCAUCAUAUUCCACAUAUCUGGCAGCCUUGUAUUUUAACUUUCGGGCUUCAGCUUUAUCUUCGGGCAGCGUACCCUCCUUGAUGUAUUUCCAGAUCGGGGUCAUCCACGUUGAAUCUCCAUUCUUGCCUUGUAUUUCCGUUACCUCAAACUCGGGGAUGCUAGGUACCUCCUGUAUCUCUAGGCGGAUAACUCCCAAUAGGGCCGGAUCUUUCUGAGACGCUAACUUUGCGAGAGCAUCGGCAUCCCCGUUGAAUUCUCUGGGUACCCUGUUUACUUGCACCUCUUCGAACUGAUCUAUUAAUCCCUGAACACAUCUGAGAUAUAUCGCCGUCUUGGGUCCCUUUGCUUGGUAUCCUCCUCUGAUGUGCUCAACCACCAGCAUGGAGUCGACCUUUAUAACAAGCUUUCUUACCUUCAUUUCAAGGGCAAGCCUGAGCCCUCCGAUCAGGGCUUCAUACUCUGCGUCAUUGUUCGAGAGCUGGAAGGUAAAGUGAGUUGCGUUCAAGAGUCUAUGUCCUUCCGGACUUACGAGCACUAUCCCAGCUCCUGCUCCUUCAUUAUUCACCGCUCCAUCUGUAUGCAAUAUCCACCAGAGUUCGGGUAUGCUUUCCUUAGGGCAUGCCUGCUGAGGUGGUAGGUUGGGAUCAUAUUUGAUCAGGAGACCAGACUCCUCUCCGUCUUCCGGGAAUUCCAAGAUAAAAUCUGCUAGUGCCUGUCCUUUGAUGGCGGUUCUUGGUUUGUAAUCUAGGUCAAAUUGCCCCAACUCGACUGCCCACUUCAUCAUUCUACCGGUUACCUCUGGUUUAUGCAUGAUCUGUCGGAGGGGGUACGCCGUCCUAACCUCCACUUUAUGAGCCUGGAAGUAUGGUCGUAGUUUCCUAGUUGCAUGUACCAAGGCGUAUACCAGCUUCUCCAUGCUUGUGUAACGAGUCUCUGCAUCCAGCAACCGCUUGCUUACGUAGUAGAUUGGGGACUGCCCCUCCUCAUCUUCUUUUACCAAUACAGCACUUAUGGAGUAGUCUGAAACGGCUAAGUAAAGGACAAGCGUCUCUCCUUCCUGAGGUUUGGCUAAGAGGGGUGGCUCGCCCAAAUGUUUCUUAAUUUUUAUGAAGGCGUCCUCGCACUCCUCUGUCCAUUCGAAAUCUUUGGAUGCGCUUUUGAUGGCCUUGAAGAACUCCUUGCAUUUCUCCGAGGAUUUCGACACGAACCUGUUUAAGGCGGCUAUCCUUCCUGUCAGACUCUGCACUUGCUUAACGUUGGCUGGGGACUUCAUGUCUAGUAAUGCCUUGAUCUUUGCUGGGUUGGCCUCUAUGCCUCUGUGGUUAACCAUAAAACCAAGGAAUUUCCCUGACUCUACCCCAAACACGCACUUCUGCGGGUUGAGCUUCAUCCUGUAUUUCCUUAAGAUUUCGAACAUCUCUGACAAGUGGGCAACAUGGUCAGUGUCUUUCUUGGAUUUAACCAGCAUGUCGUCCACGUAUACUUCCAUUGUUUUCCCAAUCUGAUCCUUGAACAUCAUGUUCACCAAUCGCUGAUAAGUCGCCCCUGCGUUAAUAAGCCCAAAUGGCAUACCAAUGUAGCAAUAUAGACCCCUGUCCGUGAUGAAGGAAGUGUGCUCCUGGUCAGGCUCAUACAUGGGAAUCUGAUUGUAUCCCGAGUAGGCAUCCAUAAAGCUGAGGAGGGCGUGUCCUGCCGUUGAAUCUACCAGUUGGUCAAUGCGAGGGAGCGGGAAACUAUCUUUAGGACACGCCUUGUUGAGAUCCGUGAAAUCUAUGCAUGUGCGCCACUUCCCGUUGGGUUUCUUAACAAGUACGGGAUUUGCUAGCCAUUUCGGGUAGAACGAUUCCUUUACCAAUCCUGCUUUCAAGAGGCGAUCGACUUCCUCCUGCAGGGCCUCGGCUCUUUCUCCGCUGAUGGGUCUUCUCUUUUGUCUAGCACCUUUUUUAGAGGGGUCGACAUUCAGGUGAUGGCACAUAACUGCCGGGUCUAUCCCCACCAUAUCUUCGUGGCUCCAAGCAAAUACGUCGAGGCUAUUUGUAAGGAAUUCUAUCAGCUUGCUCCUUAUCUCUGGACCUAGUUUGGAUCCUAUCUUCAGGAUCUUGCCAUCACUCCCCGGUGUAACUUGCACGUCGAUCGUAUCCUCAGCUGGCCCUGUGUUCUGCACUUGCAUGGGUAAUCUCGGGUCUAAGUCGAAGUCGAAUUGGUGUGGGGUUUCUCUCGGUUCCGAAGGCGCGUCCGUAGACACUUUUUCGGGAGGAGAGGGCUCCUCUAAUUCCAUGACGACCUCCCGUGGAUCCAUCCUUCUGACUCUUUUUAGAGGUGCCUCUUCCACUUCGAUAACCAGUUCUUCACACUCUUCAGACGUCGAGUCAUCGACGAGAGUGGGCUCGCCCUUGUGAAGGACGCGUUCUCCGAGUGGUGGGAUGCUGGGCGUGUCUUCAUUGUCGCUCUCUGGAUAUUGAACGAGGUAGAGAACGUGGACUGAGCGUAGUUCCUCGUGGGGUGGCACUCCCCUCCUAUCUCGAAAAUUCUUAAGUGACCGGCCGUAGCAAUCGCGAGAUUCGUACUGGGAUCCCUUCACACAACCAACUCCUCCAGGAGUGGGGAACUUCAAAGUAAGAUGAUAAAUGGAGGUGAUUAUCCUCAUGUCUUUCAAGAGGGGGCGUCCCAUAAGUGCAUUAUGCGCCGAGGGAUGGUCGAUGAUUACAAACUCGGCAAUUUGAGUGGCUGCUCGUGGAGCUUCUCCUAAGGUGACUGGCAAGCGUAUGGUUCCUUUGGCUUUGAUGGCCUCUCCCCCGAAGCCAUAUAUGUAGAGAUUCUCCACAGUCAUGUCCUUGUCUGGUAAUCCCAUUUUCUUGUAAGUGUCGUAGUAGAGGAUGUUGACCGAACUUCCAUUGUCGACAAACACUCGGUGAAUGUUUAGGGCGGCGAUACGCAUGGCGACCACCAAAGCGUCGUUAUGGGGAUGGUGUACCCACCUCGCAUCGUCCUCCGUAAAAGUGAUGUCCAUAGUUUCUUCCUUAAAUACUCGUGGGGCUCUGGCCGACAGAUGGUUCACGUUGGUAAGAGGGUAGUCCUUCGCUUCCUUAGCAUAUCUCUCCAUUGCCUUUCGACUGCCUCCCCCUAUGUAGGGUCCCCCAAAUAUGCUCCUGAUGCUGCCUUCUCUUACAAACUGAGUAUCAUUCUGCUUUUCAUCUGCUCUGUCAUUCUGUGAAGCACCGAGGCCGCGUCUUUCCGGAGGAUGGUCUGUUCUGUACUUUUUUACCCACUCCGUUAGGUAUCCUUCUUUGAGUAAAUAUUCGAUUUCCUCUUUCAGAUGCCGACACUCGGAGGUGCUAUGUCCUGCUGACUCGUGGAAGUCACAAUACUUCUUUUUGUCUUUGGCUAUAUGUUGAGGAAUAGGUUGAGGUUUCUGGAACGGCACCUUAUCCUUGGUCAUCGCAUAGACGUGUUCAGCUGAGGCUGUUAGCGGGGUAUAUACUCCUGAUUGUCUCGGAGGAGGACUCCAAGUCCUUUUGCUCGAAGUCAUAUUUACCCUACCCGGAGAGCGGGCGCGUCCUCUUGGUUCUGGACUGGGAGUGCGAUCUUUUCUUUUGUAUUUAGAUUUGGCGAUCUCCUUUUGAUUUUCGGCCAGCGACUGCUCCACCUUUUUGAAGGAUUCGGCUGCGGAGUAUAGCUCGGACAGAGAGGCCGGGUCCUUCCCUUGGAGGUGCUUCCAGAAGUCGGUACCAACCUUGAGUCCAGCGAUAAGGAAGUUCUUCAAGGUUUCGUCUGAGGCUCCCUUCACUCCCAUAGAUUCCUGGUUAAACCUCUUGAAGUAUGCAGUCAAAGUUUCAUUGUCACGCUGCUUGACAUUGGCGAGUGUAGUAACGGGUGGUGCGUAUUUGGUCGCGGCUUGGAAUUGUGUCAUGAACAUCUGCUGCAUGCCUUCCCAAGAGGAGAUGACCCCUCCUCCCAACUUCUGAAACCAUUGUUGAGCGCUAUCCCUCAGAGUUGCUGCUAGGAACCUACACCUGACCAGGUCAGGGAUCUGGUAUAAGUCCAUUUCAAUGUUGAACCUGAUCAAGAAUUCGCGGGGGUCGGCGUUCCCGUGAUAGCGGAGAUCUGCAUUCGAGUUUCUGAAACCGGUUGGUAGCUGGGCUUCUCGGACUGCUGCGGUAAAUGGUGACGAGAUUUGUGGCGCCGUUGUGGCAGCGCUGGCUUGUAAAAGGGCCAGUAACUUCUUCAGGUCUUCGGGGUUGAUCGUUCCGACUCCCGGAAUAGUCUGAGUGCUUACCGGAGGGGUAGCAGUAGUAGUUGCUAGGCUUGUGUUGGUCACCGUGGUCUGAAGUACGUUGUUGGCUUGAGUCUGGGUAGCAGUUGGUUGGACGAUUUGUGUUGGAGGAGUAGGUGUGGUGGACACAGGAAUAGUUUGCUGCGGAGUGGGAAUGGGUGGAGUUGAUGUGGCUUGCUGAUUGACGGUGGUUAUGAUCGGAGGUGUCGUGGUUUGUUGAUUAGCAGUAGUUAUGAUUGGAGGUGUCGUGGUUUGUUGAUUAGCAGUAGGUGGGCCUUGGGGAGGUGUGUCUCCUUGAUUGCCAAGGGGGCGUGUCCUUCCCGUGGUUCUUGGGUGCGGGGUGUGCUGGCUCGAGUCGCUUUGCGAAGGGAGGUACUCUAUCACGGGUCCGCCUCGGCGUGUCCUUCCCGUGGUUCUUGGGUGCGGGGUGUGCUGGCUCGAGUCGCUUUGCGAAGGGAGGUACUCUAUCACGGGUCCGCCUCGGCGCCUUCCCCUUGAGUUUGGUAUGAGGCCUCCUCCUCUUCCCCGUACUCCUCGGUAUGUCCUGCCCGUUCCUGUCUCACGUCUUGCCUCAGGGGGCGCGUCGUUUCCUUGAGGACGUAGGGGCGCGCCACUUCCCUGGGGGGGUCUCCUCUGCUCCUGCUCUGCCAUUCGCACAAUUAUAGCCAGGCUGUCCGGGGUGAUCCCUAAUCUUUCAGCUAGGGGUCGGGCGUCUGCGUUUUGGUUGACCGUCUCUUGUCCCGUCCCUCCUGUUUGUGCGGGAGGCGUGGUCACGUCCAGGGGCGCGCCGUUUGCGUCAUAGACUCCUUGGCUUAUUAUGGCUCCUGGUGGGAGGUUAGUGUUGGGAGGCGCAUCUCCGUACUCCAACAUUCGGGGGGUCGGUCGUCUGAAACGUCUACGUCCUCUCCUACCAUGGCUUUUGGAAUGACGCGAGUGUCUGGGGACGAGUUCUUCGAGUACAGACUCCAUGGUAUUCAACCUUGCAUCAUACCUCGCUUGACUUUGCUCCAUCCGGUGGAGGGCACUAAGGAGCUCCGUGUUACUGACUACAACCGGGGGUGGGUUGUUCGGCAAAGUGCGGGGGUCCUGUAUGUGCUCCGGUGAGUAUGGUUCUACUUGUUCAUCUUCAACAUAGUAAUCUCCUUCGUACGGGUCAUCAUCGUGAUUGGCCAUCUCUUCCUCUUCGAGAUUUCACCUAGUCCCCUCCUUCUAGCGCCAAUUUGUUGAUAGAGGAAUUUGGUGAAUCAACAAACGUGAGGUUCGUUGCCGGAAUAAGGUGUUUCACGGUGAUU